RNAcentral lists this ribosomal RNA (429 nucleotides) under Acidobacteriota bacterium. RNAcentral's name for it is "Acidobacteria bacterium partial 16S ribosomal RNA". It matches the Rfam family "Bacterial small subunit ribosomal RNA", at positions 355 to 776 of the family's 1533-position model. The record is from RNAcentral. Lineage: Bacteria; Pseudomonadati; Acidobacteriota.
UGGGGAAUUUUGGACAAUGGGGGAAACCCUGAUCCAGCCAUCCCGCGUGUGCGAUGAAGGCCUUCGGGUUGUAAAGCACUUUUGGCAGGAAAGAAACGUCAUGGGUUAAUACCCCGUGAAACUGACGGUACCUGCAGAAUAAGCACCGGCUAACUACGUGCCAGCAGCCGCGGUAAUACGUAGGGUGCAAGCGUUAAUCGGAAUUACUGGGCGUAAAGCGUGCGCAGGCGGUUCGGAAAGAAAGAUGUGAAAUCCCAGAGCUCAACUUUGGAACUGCAUUUUUAACUCCCGGGCUAGAGUGUGUCAGAGGGAGGUGGAAUUCCGCGUGUAGCAGUGAAAUGCGUAGAUAUGCGGAGGAACACCGAUGGCGAAGGCAGCCUCCAGGGAUAACACUGACGCUCAUGCACGAAAGCGUGGGGAGCAAACAGG